AGCAGCCGCGGUAAUACGGAGGAUCCAAGCGUUAUCCGGAUUUAUUGGGUUUAAAGGGAGCGUAGGUUGACAUAUAAGUCAGCUGUGAAAGUUUACGGCUCAACCGUGAAAUUGCAGUUGAUACUGUAUGUCUUGAGUGUACAAGAGGUGGGCGGAAUUCGUGGUGUAGCGGUGAAAUGCUUAGAUAUCACGAAGAACUCCAAUUGCGAAGGCAGCUCACUGGGGUACAACUGACACUGAGGCUCGAAAGUGUGGGUAUCAAACAGGAUUAGAUACCCUGGUAGUCCACACAGUAAACGAUGAAUACUCGCUGUUUGCGAUAUACAGUAAGCGGCCAAGCGAAAGCAUUAAGUAUUCCACCUGGGGAGUACGCCGGCAA
RNAcentral lists this ribosomal RNA (379 nucleotides) under uncultured Bacteroides sp. RNAcentral describes it as "bacterial SSU rRNA". It matches the Rfam family "Bacterial small subunit ribosomal RNA", at positions 510 to 891 of the family's 1533-position model. The record is from RNAcentral. Lineage: Bacteria; Pseudomonadati; Bacteroidota; Bacteroidia; Bacteroidales; Bacteroidaceae.